Molecule: ribosomal RNA, 492 nt
Filed under: uncultured bacterium
Lineage: Bacteria
Description: partial 16S ribosomal RNA
Rfam family: Bacterial small subunit ribosomal RNA
Source: RNAcentral
AGUGAACGCUGGCGGUAGGCCUAACACAUGCAAGUCGAACGGCAGCACAGUAAGAGCUUGCUCUUACGGGUGGCGAGUGGCGGACGGGUGAGGAAUACAUCGGAAUCUACUUUUUCGUGGGGGAUAACGUAGGGAAACUUACGCUAAUACCGCAUACGACCUACGGGUGAAAGCAGGGGAUCUUCGGACCUUGCGCGAUUGAAUGAGCCGAUGUCGUAUUAGCUAGUUGGCGGGGUAAAGGCCCACCAAGGCGACGAUCCGUAGCUGGUCUGAGAGGAUGAUCAGCCGCACUGGAACUGAGACACGGUCCAGACUCCUACGGGAGGCAGCAGUGUGGAAUAUUAGACAGUGGGCGCGAGCCUGAUCCAGCCAGACCGCGUGGGUUAAGAAGGCCUUCGGGUUGUAAAGCCCUUUUGUUGGGUAAGAAAAGCAGCAGGUUAAGACCCCGCUGUUCUGACGGUACCCGAAGAAUAAGCACCGGCUAACUUCGUG